UAGCAUAUCAAUAAGCGGAGGAAAAGAAACCAACCGGGAUUGCCCUAGUAACGGCGAGUGAAGCGGCAAGAGCUCAAAUUUGAAAGCUGGCUCCUUCGGGGUCCGCAUUGUAAUUUGCAGAGGAUGCUUCGGGAGCGGUCCCCAUCUAAGUGCCCUGGAACGGGCCGUCAUAGAGGGUGAGAAUCCCGUAUGGGAUGGGGUGCCCGCGCCCGUGUGAAGCUCCUUCGACGAGUCGAGUUGUUUGGGAAUGCAGCUCUAAUUGGGUGGUAAAUUUCAUCUAAAGCUAAAUAUUGGCCGGAGACCGAUAGCGCACAAGUAGAGUGAUCGAAAGAUGAAAAGCACUUUGAAAAGAGAGUUAAACAGCACGUGAAAUUGUUGAAAGGGAAGCGCUUGCGAUCAGACUCGCUCGCGGGGUUCAGCCGGCCUUCGGGCCGGUGUACUUCCCCGCGGGCGGGCCAGCGUCGGUUUGGGCGGCCGGUCAAAGGCCCCUGGAAUGUAACGCCUCUCGGGGCGUCUUAUAGCCAGGGGUGCCAUGCGGCCUGCCCGGACCGAGGAACGCGCUUCGGCUCGGACGCUGGCAUAAUGGUCGUAAGCGACCCGUCUUGAAACACGGACCAAGGAGUCUAACAUCUACGCGAGUGUUCGGGUGUCAAACCCGUGCGCGCAGUGAAAGCGAACGGAGGUGGGAACCCCUCGGGGUGCACCAUCGACCGAUCCUGAUGUCUUCGGAUGGAUUUGAGUAAGAGCGUAGCUGUUGGGACCCGAAAGAUGGUGAACUAUGCCUGAAUAGGGCGAAGCCAGAGGAAACUCUGGUGGAGGCUCGCAGCGGUUCUGACGUGCAAAUCGAUCGUCAAAUUUGGGUAUAGGGGCGAAAGACUAAUCGAACCAUCUAGUAGCUGGUCUGCG
RNAcentral lists this ribosomal RNA (906 nucleotides) under Penicillium westlingii. Its description in RNAcentral is "LSU rRNA". It matches the Rfam family "Eukaryotic large subunit ribosomal RNA", at positions 36 to 960 of the family's 3401-position model. The record is from RNAcentral. Lineage: Eukaryota; Fungi; Ascomycota; Eurotiomycetes; Eurotiales; Aspergillaceae.